GGCUCCGGCCCGAUCCUCCCACCCUUUGUGUACCUACCUCUGUUGCUUUGGCGGGCCGCGGUCCUCCGCGGCCGCCCCCCUCCCCGGGGGGUGGCCAGCGCCCGCCAGAGGACCAUCAAACUCCAGUCAGUAAACGAUGCAGUCUGAAAAACAUUUAAUAAACUAAAACUUUCAACAACGGAUCUCUUGGUUCUGGCAUCGAUGAAGAACGCAGCGAAAUGCGAUAAGUAAUGUGAAUUGCAGAAUUCAGUGAAUCAUCGAAUCUUUGAACGCACAUUGCGCCCUUUGGUAUUCCGAAGGGCAUGCCUGUUCGAGCGUCAUUACAACCCUCAAGCUCUGCUUGGUAUUGGGCACCGUCCUUUGCGGGCGCGCCUCAAAGACCUCGGCGGUGGCGUCUUGCCUCAAGCGUAGUAGAACAUACAUCUCGCUUCGGAGCGCAGGGCGUCGCCCGCCGGACGAACCUUCUGAACUUUUCUCAAGGUUUGACCUCGGAUCAGGUAGGGAUAUCCGCUGAACUUAAGCAUAUCAAGUGAGGCGGGAGGGA
This 544-nucleotide ribosomal RNA is filed under the name Botryosphaeria dothidea. RNAcentral describes it as "eukaryotic LSU rRNA". The stretch from base 167 to 320 matches the Rfam family "5.8S ribosomal RNA". The record is from RNAcentral. Lineage: Eukaryota; Fungi; Ascomycota; Dothideomycetes; Botryosphaeriales; Botryosphaeriaceae.